Chelonia mydas (Green sea turtle) is the source of this 163-nucleotide long non-coding RNA. RefSeq lists it as uncharacterized. The record is from RefSeq and is a predicted model, not a curated record. NCBI's taxonomy places the organism in Eukaryota, Metazoa, Chordata, Testudines, Cheloniidae. The transcript is spliced from 3 exons.
GAGCUGGGGAAAGGGCAGCAGGGUGAUCUCCCAUCUCUGUGCAGCCAGUGGCCUGUGCUCCCCACUUCCAUGCUGGAACCUCCACAUUCAUUUAUUGACAAAUAAAACUUGCAGAAUUUUAAAAUGUGCUCAGAAUUUUUAUUUUUUGGCACUGAACUUUUAU